CAGCAGGGCUGUUCCAUCCUUUGUGAAAUUUUGGCAGUUGGAAUACCUCUGAGAAGGUGGCACAGAAAUGAGGAGGAAAAUACAUGGAACCUGAUUCAGGCGUCAAACACAGUGAUCACAGAAAUAAACAUGAAGUGUUCACCUGGCCAGGAAGACAAGGGAGAUCUUCUCCGAGGAAGUAACAGUAGAGUUAAAAUUUAAA
Molecule: long non-coding RNA, 202 nt
Filed under: Macaca mulatta (Rhesus monkey)
Lineage: Eukaryota; Metazoa; Chordata; Mammalia; Primates; Cercopithecidae
Description: lncRNA (ENSMMUG00000051821.1)
Source: RNAcentral